RNAcentral lists this long non-coding RNA (765 nucleotides) under Homo sapiens (human). RNAcentral's name for it is "HSALNT0375395". The record is from RNAcentral. Lineage: Eukaryota; Metazoa; Chordata; Mammalia; Primates; Hominidae.
CUCAUUUUCUCUUGCUCCUGCCGUGUAAGAAGUGCCUUUUGCCUCCCACCGUGAUUCUGAGGCCUCCCCAACCAUGUGCAAUUGCACAGGCCCAGGCUGAAGAGGAAAGACAAGAGCCGCCCUGCCCAGAAACGUCCACAUGUGGGUACUGCAUUCCUACCGGUGUGACAGGUCAGUGUGACAGGUACUGUUGUGACAGGUCGGUGUGAGACACUGGUGUGACAAGUCAGUGUGACAGGCAGUGGUGUGACAGGUCGGUGUGACAGGCACCAGUGUGACAGGCCCCGGUGUGACAGGUAGGUCAUGCUGUGACAGGCCCCGGUGUGACAGGUCGGUGUGACAGACACCAGUGUGACAGGCCCCGGUGUGACAGGUAGGUCAUGCUGUGAUAGGCCCCGGUGUGACAGGUCGGUGUGACAGGCACCAGUGUGACAGGUAGGUCAUGCUGUGAUAGGCCCCGGUGUGACAGGUCGGUGUGACAGGCACCAGUGUGACAGGCCCCGGUGUGACAGGUAGGUCAUGCUGUGACAGGCACCGGUGUGACAGGCCCCGGUGUGACAGGUCGGUGUGACAGGCACCGGUGUGACAGGUCGGUCACGUUGGCUCCCUGGCACGCGGCAGAGUGGGGACCGUGCCCCCGUGAGUGUCACACUGGGGUCCACACCAGGCUGAUCCACUGUGAGCUGGGAGUUGCCAUAGAGACUCUAUAAAUACAACCAAACAUCUUCCAGGGAACAGAAGCGUUUCUCAUCCCAAACCUCCACA